GUGUACUUAGCUCAGUGGUUAGAGCAUCACUCUUAAAUGUUGAGGUCGCAGGUUUAAUUCCUGCAGUGCACA
RNAcentral lists this transfer RNA (72 nucleotides) under Phakopsora pachyrhizi. RNAcentral's name for it is "tRNA-Leu". It matches the Rfam family "tRNA". Rfam says of the family: Transfer RNA (tRNA) molecules are approximately 80 nucleotides in length. Their secondary structure includes four short double-helical elements and three loops (D, anti-codon, and T loops). The record is from RNAcentral. Lineage: Eukaryota; Fungi; Basidiomycota; Pucciniomycetes; Pucciniales; Phakopsoraceae.